RNAcentral lists this ribosomal RNA (253 nucleotides) under uncultured bacterium. RNAcentral's name for it is "partial 16S ribosomal RNA". It matches the Rfam family "Bacterial small subunit ribosomal RNA", at positions 524 to 776 of the family's 1533-position model. The record is from RNAcentral.
UACGGGGGGGGCAAGCGUUGUUCGGAAUUACUGGGCGUAAAGGGCUCGUAGGUGGCCAACUAAGUCGGACGUGAAAUCCCUCAGCUUAACUGGGGAACUGCGUCCGAUACUGGAUGGCUCGAGUUUGGGAGAGGGAUGCGGAAUUCCUGGUGUAGCGGUGAAAUGCGUAGAUAUCAGGAGGAACACCGGUGGUGUAGACGGCUUUCUGGACCGUAACUGACGCUGAGACACGAAAGCGUGGGUAGCAAACAGG